Molecule: transfer RNA, 69 nt
Filed under: Dryoscopus gambensis
Lineage: Eukaryota; Metazoa; Chordata; Aves; Passeriformes; Malaconotidae
Also listed under: 1 other name
Description: tRNA-Ala
Rfam family: tRNA
About the family: Transfer RNA (tRNA) molecules are approximately 80 nucleotides in length.
Source: RNAcentral
AAAGCCCUAGCUUAAUUAAAGCAUUUGAGUUGCAUUCAGGAGAUGCAGGGUAAAGUCCUGCGGGUUUUA